GAUCCACCCGUUCCCAUCCCGAACACGGAAGUUAAGCCCUCCAGCGCCGAUGGUACUUGGGGAUGACCCCUGGGAGAGUAGGUCGUUGCCAGGC
This 94-nucleotide ribosomal RNA is filed under the name Thermoactinomyces sp. CICC 24227. The record is from RNAcentral. Lineage: Bacteria; Bacillati; Bacillota; Bacilli; Caryophanales; Thermoactinomycetaceae.